Molecule: ribosomal RNA, 459 nt
Filed under: uncultured bacterium
Lineage: Bacteria
Description: partial 16S ribosomal RNA
Rfam family: Bacterial small subunit ribosomal RNA
Source: RNAcentral
CCUACGGGCGGCAGCAGUGAGGAAUAUUGGUCAAUGGGCGGGAGCCUGAUCCAGCCAAGCCGCGUGAGGGAAGAAGGUACAGCGUAUCGUAAACCUCUUUUGUCAGGGAACAAAGGCGGGGACUAGUCCCCGGAUGAGGGUACCUGAAGAAAAAGCAUCGGCUAACUCCGUGCCAGCAGCCGCGGUAAUACGGAGGAUGCGAGCGUUAUCCGGUGUUAUGGGGUUAAAGGGGGGCGCAGGCGGCCUGUUAAGUCAGCGGUAAAAGCCCGGGGCUCAACCCCGGCGAGCCGUUGAAACUGGCGGGCUGGAGUUGGAGAGAAGUACGCGGAAUGCGCGGUGUAGCGGUGAAAUGCUUAGAUAUCGCGCAGAACCCCGAUUGCGAAGGCAGCGUGCCGGCUCCACACUGACGCUGAGGCACGAAAGCGUGGGUAUCGAACAGGAUUAGAUACCCGAGUAGUC